RNAcentral lists this ribosomal RNA (587 nucleotides) under uncultured bacterium. RNAcentral's name for it is "bacterial SSU rRNA". It matches the Rfam family "Bacterial small subunit ribosomal RNA", at positions 338 to 916 of the family's 1533-position model. The record is from RNAcentral.
CCUACGGGAGGCAGCAGUGGGGAAUCUUGCGCAAUGGGCGGAAGCCUGACGCAGCAACGCCGCGUGCGGGAAGAAGGCCUUAGGGUCGUAAACCGCUUUCAGGGGGGACGAAGCUUCCGGGGUUAAUAGCCUACGGGGUGACGGUACUCCCAAAAGAAGGUCCGGCUAACUACGUGCCAGCAGCCGCGGUAAUACGUAGGGACCGAGCGUUGUCCGGAAUCAUUGGGCGUAAAGAGCGUGUAGGCGGCUUGGUAGGUCUCGUGUGAAAUCCCGCGGCUCAACCGCGGAUCCGCACGGGAAACCCCUAAGCUCGAGUCCGGAAGAGGAGAGUGGAAUUCCUGGUGUAGCGGUGAAAUGCGCAGAUAUCAGGAAGAACACCCGUAGCGAAGGCGGCUCUCUGGGACGGUACUGACGCUGAGACGCGAAAGCGUGGGGAGCAAACAGGAUUAGAUACCCUGGUAGUCCACGCCGUAAACGAUGGGCGCUAGGUGUGGGAGGUGUCGACUCCUCCCGUGCCGAAGCUAACGCAUUAAGCGCCCCGCCUGGGGAGGUACGGCCGCGAGACUAAACUACAAUAGAAUAGACGG